Long non-coding RNA from Mytilus trossulus (common blue mussel), 542 nucleotides. RefSeq lists it as uncharacterized. Lineage: Eukaryota; Metazoa; Mollusca; Bivalvia; Mytilida; Mytilidae. The transcript has 2 exons. The record is from RefSeq and is a predicted model, not a curated record.
CUCUACGUAAAAUAUGUAUUUGACCUAUCAAAAAUAAGAAAUUUAAGUGGGAUGUGCCAUAUAACUUGUCUUGUUUGUGAAAGCUUUUCCUGUUUUAUAAUAAUGAGUGUAUGAUAAUAAUGGUGUUUGUUUAUUUCUGUUAUGUAUUCUUUAUAUUUAUAACACUAUUUCAAAAAUCUGUUGGACGAAUCCAGUGCGACAAUGGAGAAACUAUUUCAAUGUCUAUGUUUAAGGAUUGUCAUAGUGAAUUACAUAGUAUCUUUGAACUUAUAUGUAGUUUAUUUUCACCAAAUAUGGAUUUAAAUAUUGCUGGUGCUCCGGUUGUUGGAGAUAGAUUAAAUGCCACAGAAAGACUGGUUUGUGGUUGUUGUAUGAAUGAUUGUAGUUUAACUGAACUUAGGAACUAUUGUUGGUUGCAAAAUACGAAGCUGUGACUUUCUGGUGAAUUUAUAUUUAUUAUAUACACAUGUUAAAAAUUGUUUGACAAUAUUUAUUUUAUCUGUUCACUUUCAAAGAAAAAUAAAGUGUGCUGGUUUCCAAAA